Long non-coding RNA from Hippoglossus stenolepis (Pacific halibut), 899 nucleotides. RefSeq lists it as uncharacterized. The transcript is spliced from 4 exons. NCBI's taxonomy places the organism in Eukaryota, Metazoa, Chordata, Actinopteri, Pleuronectiformes, Pleuronectidae. The record is from RefSeq and is a predicted model, not a curated record.
CUCGCAACAAUCCAACGGAGAGUCUUUGGUGACGAGCAGCCGAGCCGAGAGGUGUCAGUCUUUGUUGCCUUAAAAGCUGUGAUUACAAAAGCAAUAUUGGAAAUUGAAUUUCCGGAAGUCUACAUUUCAAAGUUUUCAAAUCAACCGCAGGUCAAUAUCUAAACGAGCAAUUAUGGAAAAAGAAGCCGGUAAUAUAAUAAGUGUUAUUAUGACAGAGUGGGUUCUCUCUUAGGGCAAAGAAUAAGAGCUUCUCUUCCUCCCUUUUUUAUUCUUCACUUCAUUGUUCCUGUAAUUUGCUCUUUUCGUCGUUAAAAUCAUUUUGAGUUACAGGUGAUUCAAUUUCUCAUGUCUGUGCUGUCACAUCCUCCUCUCCACCCCCUCCCCUCCUCACCUGCUGUCAGUCUUUGGCGUUUUCCAUCUUCCAUUUCAUCUUUUCAGGCCAGUCAGCGGCGGAUAAUGAGGUCUGUGGCCCGGCCCUGUGCCCCCCCCGACUCGCUGAGCACCGUCAGAAAAGACUCAAGACUUUGCAGUUGCAUCACAAAGGUCUUACAGGAACCUUCUCUGCUGUUGUGAAGGGAUCCACUGGGAAAAAGAAAUGGAGCCAGAAUAUCCCGGGUACGAACUCUGCCAUCUUGCACUGAUGACGUCAUUCUGGAGCUGGAGUCUGGAGGAGCGAUGGAGAUUCACCCGCUCAACCAAUCGCCAGAAAAGGUUCAGGAGCUUCUGUCGGCCCUGAGCAGCGUCUCCUCACAAGCAACCUCCACCAAGACGAUACCCGUGUGUUACCUGAGAGGCAAAAUCCAGCGGACAAGAGAUGAAAGCUAAUUACGCGGCGUGGCGAGGAGCCGGGGCGGCGCGCGCGAUGCAGGAAACGGGGAGCCGAGGUGGUUAAUUGGGGU